GAUGAACGCUGGCGGCGUGCUUAACACAUGCAAGUCGAACGGGAAUUACUUUAUUGAAACUUCGGUCGAUUUAAUUUAAUUCUAGUGGCGGACGGGUGAGUAACGCGUGGGUAACCUGCCUUGUACAGGGGGAUAACAGUCAGAAAUGACUGCUAAUACCGCAUAAGCGCACAGGACCGCAUGGUCCGGUGUGAAAAACUCCGGUGGUAUAAGAUGGACCCGCGUUGGAUUAGCUUGUUGGUGGGGUAACGGCCCACCAAGGCGACGAUCCAUAGCCGGCCUGAGAGGGUGAACGGCCACGUUGGGACUGAGACACGGCCCAGACUCCUACGGGAGGCAGCAGUGGGGAAUAUUGCACAAUGGGGGAAACCCUGAUGCAGCGACGCCGCGUGAAGGAAGAAGUAUCUCGGUAUGUAAACUUCUAUCAGCAGGGAAGAA
RNAcentral lists this ribosomal RNA (438 nucleotides) under uncultured bacterium. RNAcentral describes it as "bacterial SSU rRNA". It matches the Rfam family "Bacterial small subunit ribosomal RNA", at positions 28 to 449 of the family's 1533-position model. The record is from RNAcentral.